GAUGAACGCUGGCGGCGUGCUUAACACAUGCAAGUCGAACGAAGCAGUUCUUUUGGAAGUCUCCCAGCUUGCUGGGAGACGGACAUGUGAAUUGACUGAGUGGCGGACGGGUGAGUAACGCGUGGGUAACCUGCCUCACACUGGGGGAUAACAGUUAGAAAUGACUGCUAAUACCGCAUAAGACCACGGAAUCGCAUGAUUCUGGGGUAAAAACUCCGGUGGUGUGAGAUGGACCCGCGUCUGAUUAGUUAGUUGGUGAGGUAAUGGCUCACCAAGACGUCGAUCAGUAGCCGGCCUGAGAGGGCGACCGGCCACAUUGGGACUGAGACACGGCCCAAACUCCUACGGGAGGCAGCAGUGGGGAAUAUUGCACAAUGGGGGAAACCCUGAUGCAGCGACGCCGCGUGAGUGAAGAAGUAUUUCGGUACGUAAAGCUCUAUCAGCAGGGAAGAAAAUGACGGUACCUGACUAAGAAGCCCCGGCUAACUACGUGCCAGCAGCCGCCGUAAAAC
Molecule: ribosomal RNA, 512 nt
Filed under: uncultured bacterium
Lineage: Bacteria
Description: bacterial SSU rRNA
Rfam family: Bacterial small subunit ribosomal RNA
Source: RNAcentral